Molecule: transfer RNA, 127 nt
Filed under: Aspergillus niger
Lineage: Eukaryota; Fungi; Ascomycota; Eurotiomycetes; Eurotiales; Aspergillaceae
Description: tRNA-Pro
Source: RNAcentral
GCCCGGAUGGUCUAGUGGUAAGCUUUAUCCAAUCAAACAUUCCACCACCUUCGUCGUCUAACAAAUUCAUAGGUAUGAUUCUCGCUUUGGGUGCGAGAGGUCCCGCGUUCGAAUCGCGGUUCGGGCC